GCUAGUAAUCGCGCAUCAGCCACGGCGCGGUGAAUACGUUCCCGGGCCUUGUACACACCGCCCGUCAAGCCAUGGGAGCCGGGGGUACCUGAAGUGCGUAACCGCGAGGAUCGCCUAGGGUAAAACUGGUGACUGGGGCUAAGUCGUAACAAGGUAUC
Molecule: ribosomal RNA, 158 nt
Filed under: uncultured bacterium
Lineage: Bacteria
Description: partial 16S ribosomal RNA
Rfam family: Bacterial small subunit ribosomal RNA
Source: RNAcentral